GACGAACGCUGGCGGCGUGCUUAACACAUGCAAGUCGAACGGUGAAGCGCCUUCCUUUUUGGUGGGUGUGGAUGAGUGGCGAACGGGUGAGUAACACGUGAGUAACCUGCCCCCUUCUUCUGGAUAACCGCAUGAAAGUGUGGCUAAUACGGGAUAUUCUGGGUCUGUCGCAUGAUGGGUCUGGGAAAGAUAUUGUUUCGGUGGGGGAUGGGCUCGCGGCCUAUCAGCUUGUUGGUGGGGUGAUGGCUUACCAAGGCGGUGACGGGUAGCCGGCCUGAGAGGGUGGACGGUCACACUGGGACUGAGACACGGCCCAGACGCGUACGGGAGGCAGCAGUGGGGAAUAUUGCACAAUGGGCGCAAGCCUGAUGCAGCGACGCCGCGUGAGGGAUGGAGGCCUUCGGGUUGUGAACCUCUUUCGCCAGUGAAGCAGGCCUGCCUCGUUUGUGGGUGGGUUGACGGUAGCUGGAUAAGAAGCGCCGGCUAACUACGUG
Molecule: ribosomal RNA, 494 nt
Filed under: uncultured bacterium
Lineage: Bacteria
Description: partial 16S ribosomal RNA
Rfam family: Bacterial small subunit ribosomal RNA
Source: RNAcentral